Molecule: ribosomal RNA, 255 nt
Filed under: uncultured bacterium
Lineage: Bacteria
Description: partial 16S ribosomal RNA
Rfam family: Bacterial small subunit ribosomal RNA
Source: RNAcentral
UACGUAGGGGGCAAGCGUUGUCCGGAUUUAUUGGGCGUAAAGAGCGUGUAGGCGGCCACACAGGUCAGCUGUGAAAACUCGAGGCUCAACCUCGAGACGUCGGUUGAAACCGUAUGGCUAGAGUCCGGAAGAGGAGAGUGGAAUUCCCGGUGUAGCGGUGAAAUGCGCAGAUAUCGGGAAGAACACCCGUGGCGAAGGCGGCUCACUGGACCAUAACUGACGCUGAUGGCAACGAAAGCUGGGGGAGCAAACAGG